AGAGUUUGAUCCUGGCUCAGGACGAACGCUGGCGGCGUGCCUAAUACAUGCAAGUAGAACGCUGACUACUUUGGCUUGCUAGAGUAGAAGGAGUUGCGAACGGGUGAGUAACGCGUAGGUAACCUGCCUACUAGCGGGGGAUAACUAUUGGAAACGAUAGCUAAUACCGCAUAACAGUGUUUAACACAUGUUAGAUGCUUGAAAGAUGCAAAUGCAUCACUAGUAGAUGGACCUGCGUUGUAUUAGCUAGUUGGUGGGGUAACGGCCUACCAAGGCGACGAUACAUAGCCGACCUGAGAGGGUGAUCGGCCACACUGGGACUGAGACACGGCCCAGACUCCUACGGGAGGCAGCAGUAGGGAAUCUUCGGCAAUGGGGGCAACCCUGACCGAGCAACGCCGCGUGAGUGAAGAAGGUUUUCGGAUCGUAAAGCUCUGUUGUAAGAGAAGAACGUGUGUGAGAGUGGAAAGUUCACACAGUGACGGUAACUUACCAGAAAGGGACGGCUAACUACGUGCCAGCAGCCGCGGUAAUACGUAGGUCCCGAGCGUUGUCCGGAUUUAUUGGGCGUAAAGCGAGCGCAGGCGGUUUAAUAAGUCUGAAGUUAAAGGCAGUGGCUUAACCAUUGUUCGCUUUGGAAACUGUUAAACUUGAGUGCAGAAGGGGAGAGUGGAAUUCCAUGUGUAGCGGUGAAAUGCGUAGAUAUAUGGAGGAACACCGGUGGCGAAAGCGGCUCUCUGGUCUGUAACUGACGCUGAGGCUCGAAAGCGUGGGGAGCAAACAGGAUUAGAUACCCUGGUAGUCCACGCCGUAAACGAUGAGUGCUAGGUGUUAGGCCCUUUCCGGGGCUUAGUGCCGCAGCUAACGCAUUAAGCACUCCGCCUGGGGA
This 889-nucleotide ribosomal RNA is filed under the name uncultured bacterium. RNAcentral describes it as "bacterial SSU rRNA". It matches the Rfam family "Bacterial small subunit ribosomal RNA", at positions 8 to 879 of the family's 1533-position model. The record is from RNAcentral.